RNAcentral lists this unclassified non-coding RNA (401 nucleotides) under soil metagenome. RNAcentral describes it as "partial contains 5.8S ribosomal RNA, internal transcribed spacer 2, and large subunit ribosomal RNA". The stretch from base 1 to 121 matches the Rfam family "5.8S ribosomal RNA", at positions 35 to 154 of the family's 154-position model. The record is from RNAcentral.
GAUGAAGAACGCAGUGAAAUGCGAUAAGUAAUGUGAAUUGCAGAAUUCAGUGAAUCAUCGAAUCUUUGAACGCACCUUGCGCCCUUUGGCUAUUCCAAAGGGCAUGCCUGUUUGAGUAUCAUGAACACCUCAACUCUCAUGGUCUGCCAUGAUGAGCUUGGACUUUGGAGGUCUGCUGGCCUGUGGUCAGCUCCUCUCAAAUGAAUCAGCUUUCCGGUGUUUGGUGGCAUCAUGGGUGUGAUAAAUAUCUACGCUUGUGGUUUUCCACCAGGUAACCUUCAGUGAUGGGGGUUCGCUGGGGCUCAUAAAUGUCUCUCCUCAGCGAAGACAGCUUUGUGAAUGUUUGAUCUCAAAUCAGGUAGGACUACCCGCUGAACUUAAGCAUAUCAAUAAGCGGAGGA